UGCCCAAGAGACUGGGAUAACACCUGGAAACAGAUGCUAAUACCGGAUAACAACACUAGACGCAUGUCUAGAGUUUAAAAGAUGGUUCUGCUAUCACUCUUGGAUGGACCUGCGGUGCAUUAGCUAGUUGGUAAGGUAACGGCUUACCAAGGCAAUGAUGCAUAGCCGAGUUGAGAGACUGAUCGGCCACAUUGGGACUGAGACACGGCCCAAACUCCUACGGAAGGCAGCAG
RNAcentral lists this ribosomal RNA (233 nucleotides) under uncultured bacterium. RNAcentral's name for it is "partial 16S ribosomal RNA". It matches the Rfam family "Bacterial small subunit ribosomal RNA", at positions 127 to 354 of the family's 1533-position model. The record is from RNAcentral.